Molecule: long non-coding RNA, 560 nt
Filed under: Ursus maritimus (polar bear)
Lineage: Eukaryota; Metazoa; Chordata; Mammalia; Carnivora; Ursidae
Description: lncRNA (ENSUMAG00000014911.1)
Source: RNAcentral
CGCAAAGCGUUCUGGGACUCGUGGUUCGCAGGGUCGUAAGGAAAAGCGGAGCGGCGUCCAGUCCAGCUGGAUGUUUCCCCAGCCGAGCUCGGGGUCCCGCGAGCUUCAGUCCCUGCUCAGCUUCACCCCGCGGGGGAUUCUGGGAGGGGAUGUCGCGAGUCUCGAGUCGCUGGGCGGGUUUCCAGAACCCGCGGCGCCGCGGGGAGGAUACUGUUCUCCAAAAGAGAAGAUUGAAGAAGGAAAGAAGAAUGGCUGUUGGACUUUGUAAAGCCAUGUCCCAGGUAAGUUGAUGUUUUCACUUUGUUUCCAGAAAUUCCACCUCAUUUUUUGGGACUUUGGGACCUCAGAGAGUCAGAAAUAGCCCAAUGAGCACUCUCACCACUUCUCUCUCUUAACUACUUCAAAUGAUCUCUCUACAAAUCAUUUACUAUCUUUUUUUCUCAGUGCUGUGCUCAAAUAUGUGAUGGAAAAGAACUAUCCUCUUUAGACGGAUCAUGACUUGUGCUGGCGAUCAGUGCAAGUGAAAUAAAGGACAGAGGUGUGAUUAUUGAGUGCCCUAU